Molecule: RNA transcript, 2907 nt
Organism: Beta vulgaris subsp. vulgaris (sugar beet)
Lineage: Eukaryota; Viridiplantae; Streptophyta; Magnoliopsida; Caryophyllales; Amaranthaceae
Exons: 6
Source: RefSeq, a predicted model, not a curated record
UGGGAUAUUUUUCGGGAGGCUAGGGUCCCAAAAAAAGCAAUUGCGGCUUUCGACUUUUUUUUUUCCUUCUCUUUCUCUCUCUAACAUUCUCUCUUCUUUCAUGUUGAAUUCAUUUUUAGUUGCUAUAACAACUACGGUGAAUGCUGACAGUUAUUUCUACUCCUGAUACUAUUCAGAGUCCAAAAAAUUUUCAUCUGAUGGCGCUUGAUACUUCUUCACUAAAUACAUGCCUUUCCUUGUUAACCCGGGUUAUCGAGUUUCGAGUUCAAUCGAGCAAGCUUAAGCUAAUUUGAGUCGAGCUUUGACCGAGUCGAGUUCGAGCUGCUCACGAGGUGCUCAACUCGAUUAGCUAAAUGAGUAUACAAAGUGACAUUUGGAAGUUCACCUGUCUAUAGGGAGUGGCAAGAAUCAAGCUCAUGACACCUUCGCUUUAAUAGUUCCAACUCAUAUUGUCACCAAUGCAUCUCAACUUCCCGAGGAACUUUUGAAUCCCAGUCCUAAUAGGCAAUUUGUUGUUGGAUUUGAUUGUGAAGGUGUAAAUCUCUCACGUCAUGGAAUUCUCUGCAUUGUGUAGGUUCUAUAUGCACCUCUUUUUUCAAUUGUGAAAACCUUGCAAUGCGGGCUUCAAUAUCAUACCUCUUUUUUUUUUUUAAAAUUAUUUAAAUUAGAUUGUUGCAACUCAGAACUCUUUACAUUAUGCAAGUUCCAUCUCCCCCUCUUUAAUUUGUUCAAUUUUUUAAAUACAUGGCAAUGCAGGCUACAUGCCUACAACGUACCUCCUUUUUCUUUAGUUGCAACUUUUGGUGGUGGGGGCAGGCGGGCAUGUGUUUUACGAUUCCAUGUAGUAAGGAGAGAGAUAGAAAGAGAACGUAAAAGGGCCCAUGUCUUGGGAAGAGAGAUAGAAAGAAACCAUUCAAACCAAUAGUUUAAAACGGUAUGUUGUAAGACUUGUAACGAAUUCAAAACAGCCGAUAUAGGGAAGUGUUCAGCUAGGAAAAAUAAAAAAUAAAAAAAAAUAAAUUGGAGGAAGUAUUUAUCAUGUCAUCUGAAAUUAUAUUUUGAUAUUCUGUAUUCAGUUAGUCGUAGAACAAGUAAGAUUUUUAUUAGUGAAUUUAGGAAAGCCAGCUUAAACAUAAGAAAAGAAACUUUCACUGGGUUGAAAUAGAAUUGGUAUCUGUUGCAUGUAGAACUAACGUUUAUGGACAGUUUCUAGAAAACAAAUUGUCUGAGUAGGCGUUGCAUGUUUAAUUACUUUUCGAUAAUGGUCUUGAAAUAGAGGAACAUUCUCUGGUUAAAUCUUCCCAUGUUUGAAUGGGGAAAUCUUGAUGGUCCUUGACUCCUUUUGAGAAUAUAUUUUCAACUGUCAAUGUCUGAGUAGGCGUUGCGUUGCAUUAUAUUUUCAGUUUGGUAUUAAGUUGCACGAUGUAGUGGAUACACAGGUCAAUGUCUAAGUUGGUUACAUCUUUAAUGCAAUCUAUUAGUAAAAAGUUUAUCCAACAUCCUGUUAUAUGUCCUUUCCUUGUUCCUUUUCCUGUUAAAGAAAUAAAUUCUUUUUGAAUUAGAGUCUGCUGUUGGUAAAAUUCUCAUUCCUAUACUGUAUGGAUGGUUACGUGUCAUGUUACUAGCUCUGCCUUUUGAGAGCUUUCGUAGCUUGUUCAGAUCCAUGCUUAGAUACCUUUGUGUUAAACAAGAAUAUAUGAUUUUUUUUUUUCUCAAGCACGCAGCUGGAUAUGAAAUGCCUUUUCCUAUUUCUUCGAUUUUGAUCGGAUAGGAGUGUCAAUUGUCUUCUUUCUCUGUGUUAAUCAUUGUCUAUUACCUACAUCAAAUAUUAAAUAUUGGCUGGGCUUAUGACUUUCCUAUUGCAAAGCUGGUGUUGCUAAUAUCUUUUUUGCAUGGGUAUUUCACUUAUACAAACCAAAUUUGUUUGUUCAAUGAAGUUUAUGCUUAGAGCUGAUGAACAUGCAGUAUUGAGCUAUAAGUGGAGUGCAAAAUCGAAGGCUCAUGUUGAUGUGUCCAAUUUUGCUCCACACAGAUUGCAUACUUGUUCAGGAACAACAAGGUCUGGCUCAACCAUUAGAUGAUCGCAUUUCAUUCAUUGGCUUGCUUGCUGAUCAUCGUUUUUGCGGUGAUUUUUGGAAGUGGAAAAGUUCCGGAACAAGAGAUACUAUCAAUCAUUGAUGUCACAUCUGGGAAAAUGGGAUGCAUUAUUGGAAAAAGGGGAGCUACAAUCCAGUAUAUAUAAGAUUCGUGCAAAACACUCCACAACAAUGCACAGGUGGAAACUCAAAGAAGGCCAUAUUGAUACAUGUAUUAGAAUACGAGUGUCAGACUCGAUAUUGGUUCUUGAGUUUGGCUUGGAUCAUUAAUUUGAAGAUGCGGGGACAUAGUGUCGAGUUCCCACAAAAUCAUGAUCAAGACAUGCGCUAGGUAUUCAUCAUAGGAACAACGAAGCAAGUGAGAAAGGCGGAAGCCAUGCUGAGAGGAAGCCAGUAAGGAUGUAAAGAUUGUUCAGACUCAUAUUGUGGCUAUUUAGGUUUCAUGAUCUGGACUCAUUAGUAUCUCAAUUAUAACCUAAUAUACUAAACCUCCUAAUUGAUGCUAUUUACAGAACCCUCCUAACUGAUCCAUGAUUGUAAAUCAGUAAGAAAGAAAUGAAUUCUUACAAGUACAUUAUUUAAGAGAAGUGGUUCUCCUCUAUCCCUUUGGGCUUUGGCUAAAUUGUUAUGCGUGGAAAUAGAUUUCCAAUAGUGAAAAAUCGUUAUUCUAAGGGCUGAAUCAAAAGGUAGGAAUGUUAUAUUUCCCCCUCUAUUUCUUGCUUUAAUUCCCCUAUCAUCUUCUUUUCAUUUUGUCUUUUGUAUUUAACUUUCCAUCAAAGGAACCAAAUAAAGGAAAAACAAUCUAUACUUU